UUGUUGCGUGAGGGAUAGUAGUGGAGCUCUUUUUUAUCUGGACUUUUUGGUCUAGAUAAAAAAAGCGGGAACGUAUAGCCCGACCCGCA
This 89-nucleotide small RNA is filed under the name Flavobacterium crassostreae. RNAcentral's name for it is "Flavo-1 RNA". It matches the Rfam family "Flavo-1 RNA". Lineage: Bacteria; Pseudomonadati; Bacteroidota; Flavobacteriia; Flavobacteriales; Flavobacteriaceae. The record is from Rfam by way of RNAcentral.